CGUGUAGGCGGCAGGGCAAGUCGGAUGUGAAAUCCCAUGGCUCAACCAUGGAAGUGCACCCGAAACUGCCCAGCUAGAGUCUCGGAGAGGAAGGUGGAAUGCUUGGUGUAGAGGUGAAAUUCGUAGAUAUCAAGCGGAACACCGGUGGCGAAGGCGGCCUUCUGGACGAUGACUGACGCUGAGACGCGAAAGCGUGGGGAGCAAACAGGAUUAGAUACCCUGGUAGUCCACGCCGUAAACGAUGAGUGCUAGGUGUCACGGGCUUUGACCCUCGUGGUGCCGAAGCUAACGCGAUAAGCACUCCGCCUGGGGAGUACGGCCGCAAGGCUAAA
Molecule: ribosomal RNA, 332 nt
Filed under: uncultured Phaselicystis sp.
Lineage: Bacteria; Pseudomonadati; Myxococcota; Polyangiales; Phaselicystidaceae
Description: bacterial SSU rRNA
Rfam family: Bacterial small subunit ribosomal RNA
Source: RNAcentral